GUGCUUGACUUACCUUGACCACUGUAAUUUUAGAAAGCUGACCCUUCUCUCUUGCAAUUUACUCAGUGUUUUUAGCCUAAUGCAGAAUUUCCCUCUUCUGCAGCUGGGAGGAGAAUAUCCAUCAUUUCCAGAUGUGGACAUAUGAUCCAGGAGGCAAUUGAAGGCCAGAAAAGAAGGAAUGUCAAAUAUUUAAUACAUGCAAGACUACCUUUGUGAGAAAAUAGCCUCUUUCCUGGUCUGUGGUUUAAGAAGUUACCUAGUCUUCUCCUGCUCAUGCUCCACUGAUGACAGUUACCAGAAAAUGCUGUAAUGUUGAUAUUACUUAGGAAGGCUUUGACUGUCCAGCAUCCAUAAUGACAGCAUUAACUAAAGAAAUUCCGAGCCAGUAAAAGAGGGUAAGACACCAAUGUGAGAAAAACCUACAGCCAACCCAUCUCCAAACCCAAAGAGUUUGAUUUGUUUGAUGUAGAAGACAAAAGUCAUGAAAGCUCCAUGGUCACAGGACACCAGCUUUGGCCGUACUACAUUGUCAUUCAUUCCUCCCCACCACACGCGUGCCUGACCAUAUAGGAAAAUGAGUUUACAACCGACUACGCCUAUGGGACUCCCGGAGGGAUACAAUGUGAGAGCCUUUACUAGUGGAGGAUAGUUCUCAAAAGGUCUGAAAGUUUGCAAAACCCAUUUAAGAGUGAUGCCUUCUUUAAGAGUAUCCCAUCCACCCAUGCAGCCACACUGAUGUGACAUAUUGUGACACAAAAUGCCACAGAAAAUUAAGCUGAGCCCUCCAACUGAAGACUUGAUUUAGCCAUACAUUCUCCACAAGUCACCAUUUAAAUUAACUGUUGUAGAUUCAAGCUAGGAAAAUGAUAAUUCAUCUAGUGUAAGUAGUUGUGUAGAAACAGUUUGCUGCUACUGGAAAAAAUCUGCAUAGUAUGUUCUUAAAAUAUGGUAUGUUUCAUUUCCUAUGGAUAAAGACAAAUAAAUAUAGUUGCAAGAAAUGCAGCGCAUUUUUAAGAGGUUGGUACAAUGAUUUUUCUCUGCUGCAUGUUAUGCAUUUAUGUACACUCAACAUACAGUCUCUGCAAAUGCAUAUUUACGUUUAUAAAUAUGCAUGCAUAUAUACAUCCAAAUAUAUUUAAUUAAAAGUUUUUUUCUAAUUUUCAGUAUAGAAAUACCCAUACACAUAUGGCCUGGGAAUAAAUAAAAAUAAAUUUAUUUCUGUGCAGGUAAAAAAAUAAAAAAAAAUCAGCUAAAGGAAGUAUGGGAACCAAGCAACUAGGGCAGUAAAAUGGGGGACACAUGUCCCAGCUUCUCCUCUAAUAAAAAUGUUCUGUUUAAAAUAAUAGUUACAAUGGAAAUACUGAAAAAGAACUUUUUCUUACAAAGACCUGUGGUUCAGGCAGUCUUUUCAUAUGUGGUUGACUUAGAUUUCACUUCUGUAGAAAAAAAACAAAUGGGACAAAAAGGAUUUAUACCAAAGUUUUCCUGCCUCCCAAAUAAAUUCUCUG
This is a long non-coding RNA of Cygnus olor (mute swan), 1508 nucleotides long. RefSeq lists it as uncharacterized. The record is from RefSeq and is a predicted model, not a curated record. NCBI's taxonomy places the organism in Eukaryota, Metazoa, Chordata, Aves, Anseriformes, Anatidae. The transcript is spliced from 6 exons.